This 235-nucleotide long non-coding RNA is filed under the name Homo sapiens (human). Its description in RNAcentral is "non-protein coding lnc-PARVG-1:2". The record is from RNAcentral. Lineage: Eukaryota; Metazoa; Chordata; Mammalia; Primates; Hominidae.
GGGCUCUGUUCUCAGCGUGUGAUGCGCAUUACAUCGUAAGGUGGGGAGCUCCCAGAGAGUCAGGUUUGGUUCUGCCUUGGCUCAGUGUCUCCAGUGUGACCCACGACAGGGUCCAGCCCAGAGGGGGUCUCCACGCCUGAAGUCGCAUAUGUGGUUCCAACAGGCCUGGCUUGGAGAGCCAGCCCGGGAGGCAGGCAGCGGCUGGUGCCUCUUGAGCUCCCCCGGGACACCUGGA